Molecule: long non-coding RNA, 211 nt
Filed under: Lathyrus oleraceus (garden pea)
Lineage: Eukaryota; Viridiplantae; Streptophyta; Magnoliopsida; Fabales; Fabaceae
Description: Pisum sativum (pea) long non-coding RNA (PSAT_LNC040610)
Source: RNAcentral
UCCCAUACGAGUGAUGGUUCUCAAUAGUGGGUUUAAGUCCCAUAGGGGGACCGAAUAUCCACCGCGAAAGUCUAAUCAUACGAGCAUGCAUGAACCGGGCCUGGCUUAGACGUAAGUCCGAUCGGGAAUUGAUGUUUCGUGAUCUGAAUAAUGAUCAUGGUUGAGUUAUGAGAACUCAGAUGCAUGUUGCCAUACAAUUGCGAGAUAGUUC